This 1030-nucleotide ribosomal RNA is filed under the name Limosilactobacillus mucosae. RNAcentral describes it as "Lactobacillus mucosae partial 23S ribosomal RNA". It matches the Rfam family "Bacterial large subunit ribosomal RNA", at positions 670 to 1694 of the family's 2925-position model. Lineage: Bacteria; Bacillati; Bacillota; Bacilli; Lactobacillales; Lactobacillaceae. The record is from RNAcentral.
AGCGAAAGCGAGUCUGAAAUGGGCGUACGAAGUACGCAGUUAUGUACCCGAAACCAGGUGACCUACCCAUGUCCAGGUUGAAGGUGCGGUAAAACGCACUGGAGGACCGAACCCGUAUCAGUUGAAAAUGGUUGGGAUGAGGUGUGGGUAGCGGUGAAAUUCCAAACGAACUUGGAGAUAGCUGGUUCUCUCCGAAAUCUCUUUAGGGGGAGCCUCGAGGUUUAGAAUCAUGGAGGUAGAGCACUGUUUGGACUAGGGGCCCGUCAUGGGUUACUGACUUCAGAUAAACUCCGAAUGCCAUUGAUUUUUACUCGGGAGUCACACGGUGAGUGAUAAGAUCCAUCGUGGAAAGGGGAACAGCCCAGAUCAUCAGCUAAGGUCCCUAAAUAUAUGCUAAGUGGAAAAGGAUGUGGAAUUGCACAGACAACUAGGAUGUUGGCUCAGAAGCAGCCAUCAUUUAAAGAGUGCGUAAUAGCUCACUAGUCGAGUGACUCUGCGCCGAAAAUGUACCGGGGCUAAGCAUAUUACCGAAGCUAUGGAUGCAUCCAUCAGGAUGCGUGGUAGGAGAGCGUUCCAAGGGCGAUGAAGUCAGACCGUAAGGACUGGUGGAGCGCUUGGAAGUGAGAAUGCCGGUAUGAGUAGCGAAAGACAGGUGAGAAUCCUGUCCACCGAAUGACUAAGGUUUCCUGGGGAAGGCUCGUCCUCCCAGGGUUAGUCGGGACCUAAGUCGAGGCCGAGAGGCGUAGACGAUGGACAACAGGUUGAUAUUCCUGUACCAGUUGAUUGUGCUUGAGUGAUGGAGUGACGCAGAAGGCUAAGCGAUCCGGACGAUUGGAAGUGUCCGGCCAAGCAGCAAGUCAGUUGAUGAGUCAAAUGCUUAUCAGCGGGUUGACAAGCUGUGACGGGGAGCGAAAUUAUAGUAGCGAAGUCGUUGAUGUCACGCUGCCGAGAAAAGCUUCUAGCGAAUAAUCAACUGCCCGUACCGCAAACCGACACAGGUAGUCGAGGAGAGUAUCCUAAGGUGAGCGAG